This 483-nucleotide ribosomal RNA is filed under the name uncultured bacterium. RNAcentral describes it as "partial 16S ribosomal RNA". It matches the Rfam family "Bacterial small subunit ribosomal RNA", at positions 28 to 507 of the family's 1533-position model. The record is from RNAcentral.
GACGAACGCUGGCGGCGUGCUUAACACAUGCAAGUCGAACGCUGAAGCUCAGCUUUUGUUGGGUGGAUGAGUGGCGAACGGGUGAGUAACACGUGAGUAACCUGCCCUCUUCUUUGGGAUAACGCCCGGAAACGGGUGCUAAUACUGGAUAUUCACUGAUCUUCGCAUGGGGGUUGGUGGAAAGGUUUGUUCUGGUGGGGGAUGGGCUCGCGGCCUAUCAGCUUGUUGGUGGGGUGAUGGCCUACCAAGGCUUUGACGGGUAGCCGGCCUGAGAGGGUGACCGGUCACAUUGGGACUGAGAUACGGCCCAGACUCCUACGGGAGGCAGCAGUGGGGAAUAUUGCACAAUGGGCGAAAGCCUGAUGCAGCGACGCCGCGUGAGGGAUGGAGGCCUUCGGGUUGUAAACCUCUUUCGCUCAUGGUCAAGCCGCGACGUGGGUUGUGGUGAGGGUAGUGGGUAAAGAAGCGCCGGCUAACUACGUG